CCCGUCGCUGUCGGACGGAGACGGCGACGGCGACGGGUCGUCACUGUCCGACGGCGACGGAGACGGCGACGGAUCGUCGCUGUCCGACGGGG
RNAcentral lists this transfer RNA (92 nucleotides) under Streptomyces spectabilis. RNAcentral's name for it is "tRNA-Arg". The record is from RNAcentral. Lineage: Bacteria; Bacillati; Actinomycetota; Actinomycetes; Kitasatosporales; Streptomycetaceae.